RNAcentral lists this unclassified non-coding RNA (538 nucleotides) under Hevea brasiliensis (rubber tree). Lineage: Eukaryota; Viridiplantae; Streptophyta; Magnoliopsida; Malpighiales; Euphorbiaceae. The record is from RNAcentral.
GGGGACUGCUUCUACUUCUACCAAUGCUUUUGAAGAUAGUGUGUCCAUUGUAGCACAUGGGAGGAGACCUCAAGUUGAUUUGCUUAAUGAAAAAGCAGGUGACCCUGGUCACUCUUCUGUUGAUGACCUCCAGCUUACUGCAACUCAGAUGUGGCAGGGUCCAAAUAGGGUAGAAAAUCCCAAAACUGCCAGCAGCAUUACGUGUGAAGGAGAAUUUAGUCUGGCCUCAAGUAUGGAACCUUCUAUUUCAGGAGGCAGUUGCAGCUCUUUGGAUAGCUUCAGAAGUUUAGCAACUGAUGGGAGCAAGUAUCAUCUGUCUGAUGGAUCUCACUACAUGAUGAAUUGGAAAACCUACAUGAGGACUCAUCUGGUGGAAGGUGAUGCAGAGUUGCUGGACUCGGCCUCUUCCGCUUCUCUUGCUGAUGCAGGUGAAAAGGAGUCGACUACUACGUUAACUUCCUCAAAUUUCAAUGAAUCAGCUUACUGGGAGUUCCAAUAUAUCAGAGAUAUAAUUAGAAGCUCCGACAUGGUAAUGGAA